GGGAUUGUGGCUCAGUGGUAGAGUGCUCACCUCGCAUGUGCGAGACCCUGGGUUCCAUCCUCAGCACCA
Molecule: transfer RNA, 69 nt
Filed under: Ictidomys tridecemlineatus (thirteen-lined ground squirrel)
Lineage: Eukaryota; Metazoa; Chordata; Mammalia; Rodentia; Sciuridae
Also listed under: 1 other name
Description: Spermophilus tridecemlineatus (thirteen-lined ground squirrel) tRNA
Rfam family: tRNA
About the family: Transfer RNA (tRNA) molecules are approximately 80 nucleotides in length. Their secondary structure includes four short double-helical elements and three loops (D, anti-codon, and T loops). Further hydrogen bonds mediate the characteristic L-shaped molecular structure. tRNAs have two regions of fundamental functional importance: the anti-codon, which is responsible for specific mRNA codon recognition, and the 3' end, to which the tRNAs corresponding amino acid is attached (by aminoacyl-tRNA synthetases). tRNAs cope with the degeneracy of the genetic code in two manners: having more than one tRNA (with a specific anti-codon) for a particular amino acid; and 'wobble' base-pairing, i.e. permitting non-standard base-pairing at the 3rd anti-codon position.
Source: Rfam by way of RNAcentral